GACAGACAGCACACUGGAGGUUAAGUCAUGCACUAAAUAGGGAGCAAGGGAGCAUCCUAUAGCUCUCCUAUAACUGUUCUGAGACCAGUGCAGACAGACAGCACACUGGAGGUUAAGUCAUGCACUAAAUAGGGAGCAAGGGAGCAUCCUAUAGCUCUCCUAUAACUGUUCUGAGACCAGUGCAGACAGACAGCACACUGGAGGUUAAGUCAUGCACUAAAUAGGGAGCAAGGGAGCAUCCUAUAGCUCUCCUAUAACUGUUCUGAGACCAGUGCAGACAGACAGCACACUGGAGGUUAAGUCAUGCACUAAAUAGGGAGCAAGGGAGCAUCCUAUAGCUCUCCUA
This is a long non-coding RNA of Xyrauchen texanus (razorback sucker), 346 nucleotides long. RefSeq lists it as uncharacterized. The record is from RefSeq and is a predicted model, not a curated record. NCBI's taxonomy places the organism in Eukaryota, Metazoa, Chordata, Actinopteri, Cypriniformes, Catostomidae. The transcript has 3 exons.